Molecule: ribosomal RNA, 253 nt
Filed under: uncultured bacterium
Lineage: Bacteria
Description: partial 16S ribosomal RNA
Rfam family: Bacterial small subunit ribosomal RNA
Source: RNAcentral
UACGAAGGGGGCUAGCGUUGCUCGGAAUGACUGGGCGUAAAGGGCGCGUAGGCGGUUUGUACAGUCAGACGUGAAAUUCCCGGGCUCAACCUGGGGGCUGCGUUUGAUACGUGCGAGCUCGAGUUCGGAAGAGGGUCGUGGAAUUCCCAGUGUAGAGGUGAAAUUCGUAGAUAUUGGGAAGAACACCGGUGGCGAAGGCGGCGACCUGGUCCGAGACUGACGCUGAGGCGCGAAAGCGUGGGGAGCAAACAGG